CGCGGGCAGGCGGUGGUCCAAGUCGGACGUGAAAGCUCCCGGCUCAACUGGGAGAGGUCGUUCGAAACUGGGCCGCUAGAGGGCAGUAGAGGGGCGUGGAUUCCGGGUGGAGUGUGAAAUGCGUAGAGAUCCGGAGAACCACCAGAGGCGAAGGCGGCCGCCCUGGGGCUGCCACCUGGACGCUGA
Molecule: ribosomal RNA, 186 nt
Filed under: uncultured bacterium
Lineage: Bacteria
Description: partial 16S rRNA
Rfam family: Bacterial small subunit ribosomal RNA
Source: RNAcentral